UGAUCUGCACUUGUCCUACAUGAU
This 24-nucleotide non-coding RNA is filed under the name Arabidopsis thaliana (thale cress). Lineage: Eukaryota; Viridiplantae; Streptophyta; Magnoliopsida; Brassicales; Brassicaceae. The record is from RNAcentral.